AUGAUUAAAAAUUUACUUUUGGCACCAUGUCGACAGGACUCAACAAAUGCCCAAAUGAUAAAGUACAGUGGUAAACACACCGCAUGCACGACGGAUCCUCUUAUUUUAUUUAGAUACAAACAUAAGCACAAAUCAAAUCAAACCAAACCAAACCAUACGUCUGAUACAUAGUCUUCUCCUCACUUGAGAGUCACACACCGAAAUAAACAAGCAGGUGCACACACGCAUCAUCAAGCACCAGUUUAUUCUUUGGGAAAUUAUAUAAACACACCGUCGUUUAGGGCCGUAUGCAUCGUGCUGAUGCAGAGGCCGGGGUUUCUCCCCCUUUUCGAGAAAAAAAAAUAAACACACCGUCAACUGGGCAAGCCCAACACCUGAUUCAACCGUUCCAGCAGCAGAAAAUCAUCCCAUCACCACAUCUGCGAAUGUGAUGAUAAAACUAGUUAACGUGAGACGAAAAGAAAAGAAAGAUUCGGUAGCACAUAGGGGUGAUUGGAUCCUUGCUAUAUGUAUCAUUUUGCGAUUCAGAUAUAUGGCACAUGCAUAGUAAGUGCCGCAGAUACAUACACAUGAUUUAUACAAGGAUGACAUGGCAUAUGAUACAGUAAGGUAAACAAUAAAAAGGCGAGGGCAUGUGUAUGCAUACCUGAACGGUCAUGACAAUUCAACGGAGGACCGAGACUCUGGGUAGG
Molecule: long non-coding RNA, 692 nt
Filed under: Triticum aestivum (bread wheat)
Lineage: Eukaryota; Viridiplantae; Streptophyta; Magnoliopsida; Poales; Poaceae
Description: long non-coding RNA (TAES_LNC011033)
Source: RNAcentral